AUGGCAGAAUGCUUCAAUAAGGUGCUCAAGGGUGUACGUGCAUUACCCGUGACGGCAAUAGUUCAAUACACAUUUGACAAGAUGAAUGAAUACUUUUUGAAGCACUCAAUGGAGACUGAUAAGCAGAUUGCUGGUGAGAACAAGGAUAAGCACAAGUACAAUUUCCCACCAAAGGUUGAAGAAUGGUUGGAAUUUCAAUCACGAAAGGCAGACUCCAAAGAAGCUGUUCUAUAUGACGACAACGAGUGGAAGUAUGAGGUGAAAGAGCCCGGAGGAACCACAAAUGAUGGCCGCCAGCACGGAGGCCGGGCUUUCAAGGUCUCCCUAACACGGUGUGAUUGCAGCUGCAUGAGGCCGUCUUUGCUUCAUCUCCCAUGCUCGCACUUGUUAAAUGCAUCCCGGGUUAGGAAUGUGGACGUCAAUCACCCUCUAACCGUGAGGGAGUCCGAGUUCUCAAUCAUGACGGUAAAGAAGACAUGGACUCCACGGUUCCAGCCAUACUUGGACCAAUCACAAUGGGAGUAUCAUGGAGUUCAACUAUGGCCGGACCCG
Molecule: ribosomal RNA, 552 nt
Filed under: Triticum aestivum (bread wheat)
Lineage: Eukaryota; Viridiplantae; Streptophyta; Magnoliopsida; Poales; Poaceae
Description: partial small subunit ribosomal RNA
Source: RNAcentral